GUGGUAAUGCCGGAUGCUCCAGUUGAUCGCAUGGUCUUCUGGGAAAGCUUUCGCGGUAUGGGAUGGGGUCGCGUCCUAUCAGCUUGACGGCGGGGUAACGGCCCACCGUGGCUUCGACGGGUAGCCGGCCUGAGAGGGCGACCGGCCACAUUGGGACUGAGAUACGGCCCAGACUCCUACGGGAGGCAGCAGUGGGGAAUAUUGCACAAUGGGCGCAAGCCUGAUGCAGCGACGCCGCGUGAGGGAUGGAGGCCUUCGGGUUGUAAACCUCUUUUAUCGGGGAGCAAGCGAGAGUGAGUUUACCCGUUGAAUAAGCACCGGCUAACUACGUGCCAGCAGCCGCGGUAAUACGUAGGGUGCAAGCGUUAUCCGGAAUUAUUGGGCGUAAAGGGCUCGUAGGCGGUUCGUCGCGUCCGGUGUGAAAGUCCAUCGCUUAACGGUGGAUCCGCGCCGGGUACGGGCGGGCUUGAGUGCGGUAGGGGAGACUGGAAUUCCCGGUGUAACGGUGGAAUGUGUAGAUAUCGGAAAAGAAACACCA
This 538-nucleotide ribosomal RNA is filed under the name Bifidobacterium longum subsp. infantis. Its description in RNAcentral is "bacterial SSU rRNA". It matches the Rfam family "Bacterial small subunit ribosomal RNA", at positions 160 to 711 of the family's 1533-position model. Lineage: Bacteria; Bacillati; Actinomycetota; Actinomycetes; Bifidobacteriales; Bifidobacteriaceae. The record is from RNAcentral.